GGGGCUGACAGGCAUUCGAUUGCGUGUCAACUUACUGAGAAGCGUGCCGGGAAGCAACGCCCGUAACAGUGCAACCUUGAUAAGCGCAAACGCUCAUCAGUCCGACUACGUCCUAGCGGCAUAGUCCGGUGGGGUAUAACGGUUUACCCGUUCCGUGUACCAAUCCACCGUCGCCAAUACGGGGAACCCUCAAAGGUGACGAAGAAACACUACGCAGAGGCUAACAGCGCAAGUGACGCAGCGUCGGUGGCAAGCCCGACGAACCGCUUUGUGUAGGGCAGCGGUAUAGAAGCAGCCAAAUCACUACGCACGUAGAAGGCAGUGAAGAGAAGCGUAAGACUGCGGUUCAAUUCCGCACAGCUCCAC
Molecule: transfer-messenger RNA, 366 nt
Filed under: Mycobacteroides abscessus subsp. bolletii
Lineage: Bacteria; Bacillati; Actinomycetota; Actinomycetes; Mycobacteriales; Mycobacteriaceae
Also listed under: 1 other name
Description: transfer-messenger RNA, SsrA
Rfam family: transfer-messenger RNA
About the family: Bacterial tmRNA, also known as 10Sa RNA or SsrA, is named for its dual tRNA and mRNA-like properties. Its role is to liberate the mRNA from a stalled ribosome.
Source: RNAcentral